AUUGCUUCUUGGCCUUUUGGCUAAGAUCAAGUGUAGUAUAGAUGAGGAAAAGCAUAGAAGAGGUAUGUGGCCUCCUCGAUAAGAUGGAAUUUUUUGAACAGGGGACCUAGAGUGGGGCCUCAGGCCAACUGCUUUUCCAAAACUGGCUUCUUCACGCCACUCUCU
Molecule: small nuclear RNA, 165 nt
Filed under: Pteropus alecto (black flying fox)
Lineage: Eukaryota; Metazoa; Chordata; Mammalia; Chiroptera; Pteropodidae
Description: U2 spliceosomal RNA
Rfam family: U2 spliceosomal RNA
About the family: U2 is a small nuclear RNA (snRNA) component of the spliceosome (involved in pre-mRNA splicing). Complementary binding between U2 snRNA (in an area lying towards the 5' end but 3' to hairpin I) and the branchpoint sequence (BPS) of the intron results the bulging out of an unpaired adenosine, on the BPS, which initiates a nucleophilic attack at the intronic 5' splice site, thus starting the first of two transesterification reactions that mediate splicing.
Source: Rfam by way of RNAcentral